GGUGAAGAACGCAGCGAAAUGCGAUACUUGGUGUGAAUUGCAGAAUCCCGUGAACCAUCGAGUCUUUGAACGCAAGUUGCGCCCGAAGCCAUCAGGUUGAGGGCACGUCUGCCUGGGCGUCACAUAUCGUUGCCCAAUGCCUAUUGCAGUGCAAUAGGAAUUUCUAGGGCGAAUGAUGGCUUCCCGUGAGCGUUGUUGCCUCGCGGUUGGUUGAAAAUCGAGUCCUUGGUAGGGUGUGCCAUGGUAGAUGGUGGUCGAGUUAGAACGAUACCGAUCAUGUGCAUGCUCCCCAAAAUAUGGCCUCUAUGACCCACACGCGUCUUUUGACGCUCAUGACGAGACCUCAGGUCAGGCGGGGCUACCCGCUGAAUUUAAGCAUAUCAAUAAGCGGAGGA
Molecule: unclassified non-coding RNA, 395 nt
Filed under: soil metagenome
Description: partial contains 5.8S ribosomal RNA, internal transcribed spacer 2, and large subunit ribosomal RNA
Rfam family: 5.8S ribosomal RNA (bases 3-122)
Source: RNAcentral